Molecule: non-coding RNA, 5822 nt
Organism: Lolium perenne
Lineage: Eukaryota; Viridiplantae; Streptophyta; Magnoliopsida; Poales; Poaceae
Source: RefSeq, a predicted model, not a curated record
UUUCUUCGACUUCCACUCGCAUCGCCUUGCUUUUCGCGUGUGCGUGGGAGCAGCCGGUGAAAGUGAAACCUAGAUCGGUGAAACACUUUCCCCCAAUCAGCCGCCUCCUCCCAAUCCAAUCCUCUCCUCGUCUCCUCCCCAAUCGCUGCCUCUUUUAUCCUCUCCAAUCCCCGCUUCCAUCACCACACAGGGCUGUGAGGAGGAGAUGGGUGGAGGCGCGCAGGAGGAGCCUCUGCAAGACCGCAUCCUGAAGGAGGGCGGCGGGACUAGACGGGACGACAACGGGAGGAGGCGUUGCAGGAGCAGGGCGGCGGCGCAUCGCCACAACCGGCUGGUGCUCGAGCCCGCCGCCUCUUCGCGUUGCUCGCUGACUCCUCGCGUCACCCGCCCCCAAGUCAGAUGACGAUGCGAAUCAGUGGAGGAGGGGACCAUGGAGGAGAGGAAUGAUGCAUGGAGAUGUCGUGGUUAGCGACGGAGCGCUAGCGGCGGGCGACGACCGGGCCAGGCAAGUCCAUCUCGUCCCUCUCCUCUCGGUCUCUCUCUCCUGCACUCUGGGCGAUGACCCCCAGUGCCUCUACUACACCUCUUUGCUUCUUCCCCGGAUAGCCCACUGGUGAAGAGAUCCCCUUUUUGGAUCACGAAGAGCAUGGAGCUUCUCAGAUUUCUGAGGGAAAUUCUACGGAGUCUGAUUACCAUCAGAUAGGGUUUGGGUGUGCAGAAGAUUUUCAUAGCGAUGACAAUUGCAGAAUUGGUGUUGUCCAUGGUUACUAUAGCCUGAAGGACCAUCCACGGCAAGUCGAAUCUCGAAUGGCAUGUAUUUAUAUGGAUUUGAGGUGAACCGACUGAUUCUGCCUUGCUGUCAUAUCAUUGAAGUGUCACGUGCCUAAGGUUUCAGACUUGCAAUGGUUAUGACGGAUUUAGUGAUAGCUGACCAUAUGGCCUGUGACAUUCAACGUGUGGUGGAAAAGAACUUACCUCCAUGGUUGAUGCGUAUUAGUGCCCUAGGCGUCCAACUACAUGAGCCGAUCCAAGUAACAUACUGCUUGGCGGCGUGCUGCGGAAUAGGCCGUGCCUCCUCUUCUCCCCCAAUCGUCGCCUCCUCUCCUCCUCCCCGAUCCGCGGCGUACAGAGUAGGCAGGUGGAGCAGCACGACCCCGGGCUCCAGACCGUGCAGAAGAGAUGAGGGGACAGAGGUGGCUCAAGCGGAGGACGACGGGCAUGAGCGAGCGACGGCGCGCGUGGAGGAGGUACGUGUGGUGGCCGGACAAGCGGGCGAGGAUGGCCAGGCCACAACAAGAUUCACCUUCAGAGGAAAGAAGCCAUCUACUUGAAUGUGCUUUUGGCAUUCUUUCUAGAAGAGAAAAUAAGAUUUAGAUUGUAGGUCGCUUCAACCAAGAGGCAGAGGUACAUUCGGAAUUUGUUAUGUACUUUUGCAUGCUUGUAGAUUGCUAUCCCCUUUUAUUAGUUGCAUACAGUUAUUGGAUGGAAACCUAAGGUCUUUGUGCACUUCAUUAUGGAUAAACCAAUUUGUUGUAUAUACAAUAUUUUUGGCUGGAUAUAUACGCAUAGGUCUGAUUGCAAACAUGUUUCUUGCUACUGUUGGGAAGUCUGGGAAUGACCUGCUAUUGAAUUCUGUAGGGUGCCGAUUAGCAGUGAGUUUCUUUAUUUUUCUGGGAAUGACAUUAUGCAAUUUUCCGAGCAGCAAUCUUGGGAUAUCGGCAGGUUUGACAAGACUUUAUUUAUCUUUAAAGGGCCUCCGAAUCCUCUCAAUUUCUUUACUAACUUCAUCUUUUCGUGUUUUGUUAAUAUGUUAAUAUGCUUUCUUCAGGCUUGGUUCCCGUUUAGUUCUUGUCUUCUUGCUUUAAGUGUUACCGUAGAAAAGGUCUUGUUGUUUCAGCACGGAUAUGUUAUUUUUGCUAUAUUCUAAAGCUAAUAUUAUCCUUCAAUCUGUAAUGGAGGUUUAUUCCGAGUUCUCUUUUCUGCAUCUUUGGUAAGUACGCUUACUCAAAAUGGGAGCCUUAUUUCAGCAAUGGUGACAUGCUAUGCGGUUGCCCUUUAUUUCUAUACUCCCAGCGGCAAGUGCUCGUUGGCUGUUGGAUGGCGUUUUAUGGUUAUUUGUCAUACAUGAAUGCAUGUUGUGGCUACCUCAUGUUGUGAUAUUGUUUCCAUGUAUUUAAAGUGGAUAUGCAUCAUUAACGAAUCUUUGUUUCUUGCCUCUUUGUUUGCCUUGCAUUGAUGGAGAUCAUAAAGUUUCUAAUUCGUAUUUUAUCUCCUGAAAAAAUACUGACUUUUUUCUUGCAUCAAAUCAGGGCCAAAUAAAAGAAGUUUUCUAUUCAUGGUAGAAGCACAGUUUUAUUAGGGAAAUGAUUUCUAUUAUACAAUGAAUUCUUGAGGUACAGGUGGCUCUGAGUGCAUAUAAUCUGUGUUGAUGUAUUUAGCCAUGGCGUUUAUGUCACAUGUAUGGUACAGUCGUAUUCAGCCAAGCUUUGCAGGCUUUUUUCACUAAUAUCAAGAUAAAGAAGUUGUCUGGCAUGGUCGCUUUAAUACGAAAGAUCGUGUUAAUUUGGUCGAUGCACAAUUGCAGAAGAUAAAGAACUUUUCUGGCAUGUUAGCUUCAAUAAUAAGGAAUAUGACAGAAGCUAUAUUGCUGAAGAUGCCUACGGUUCAGCAGCUUAUGAUGAUUUACUUCAGCAGCUUAUGAUGUCUAUGGGAGGUUGGUGCAGUGUGUGACGGGAAGAAACGAGGUGAAGCUUCUCCCAAUCGUCUGGCGGUGAGGAGGACGCGAGUUGGAGGUGGAUUGAGCUCGAUGGCCAGGAGGGGCCGUUAACUGAUUGGGGAGUUUGGUGCAGCGUGUGAUGGCAGGAAACGAGGGCUCUAUGUAAAUCCGGAAUGAUGUUUGGUACAGGCCGGGCAAUGGAGAAUCAUUGUUAAAGGUGAUAUUGCAGGCAUCAUCAUGACCACAUCAAAGGUCCUAAACUCUAGGUGAGAUCUUUCUUAUUUUUUCAUCUCUUGAGAAUGAAUCAUCUCCUGCAUAGUUAUUAAUAAGACUAUAUUUGUGUGACAUUGUACUGGCUCAUUGGUAAUUGAUAGUGCUUUGCCUUUUCAUACUCGCAGCUAUUUUUUGUUGCUCAUCAUGCCUUUUCUUAUGAAUUAGUAGUGAUCCUGUAAGGCAUGAAUCAACAGGAAAAAUUAUAGAAAGGAAAAUAAUAGCGAGAAGGAGGGUGAGUAGAAAGAAGCAUUUAUACUCAUUAACAUUGAUGUUGAUUCAUAUUAUCAGACCGGUUUGUUUUAUUAGUUGGGUCAGCUGAAUGUUAAGACGGGAGGUGGGAUAGAUAGUCCUCAUUGUACCAUGAAAUUUGAAAAUAACUAAUUUUUUUUGUUGAUGAAGCCGCUGAAAAUAUUGGUUCUCACGUACUUACACCUUUCAGUUAAAUACAAAAUCUUUUGUUAUUGGAAUGUUUCAACUGAAUAUAUCAAGGCAAGGAAUUAAUUGACAAGAUGAUCAGAUACAAUAUAUUAGUACAUUGCCAAUGUUUUUUAAUACUUGAUGUAUGCUAAAAAAAUUUGGUUUGCCUUUUAAUAGUACCCCUCUGGCCCAAAUUAAUUAGUUGACACACAUGGUACUGGAAUCAAAACUCGACAUAGUAAUGGGCUUGCGACAAUUAAUCGGCCUGAAAUUAAUUUCUUGCCUUGAUACAUGAUACAUGAAGAACCACAUCCUCGAUGUCCUGUUCCAGGUCCACAGCUACUGCCUUCCCCAAGAAGGCCAUCUUUGAGGCUAGAUCAGCAAGGUCACCGUCUACAGAGGACUCAUUUUUUGCCUCACAAUUUCAUUUCUACAGGCUUAGUAUGGGAGGAACCUGUGGUUAUGAUGUAUAAUAAUUCUGGUAUGCGAGUAUGAUAAAGACCACUUUGUGUGGCCUGCUCACAUCUGUUCUUUGCUUCUUAGUUAUGAUCUUGGUGUAUUCACAUUGAAGAAAAUAACACCACUUUAUAUGUACUUAUUGAAUGUCUUGAUGGCACAAAAAAACAUGAGAUUGGCUUCUAUGUUAUACACAUUCAUUUCUCUUUUGUAUUAACAAAUGGUUGGAUGAAAAAAAAAUUGUCGCUUCUGCAGCAUACAUGUGUUAUCUUUAUAUAAUUGGUUGAAUGUUUUUUUAUAAAAAAAUGCUUAUAUAGGCUUAAGGGGCCACGACAACCUAAUGAAUUCUUGGACAACUAUAUAAACAUCAGCCGUGUAAACCUUAUGAUUAACUAUCUCGCUUUUACCUCUGCGCCGGGGUGCACCGGGUCAUCUAGAUUGUUCAGAGAAAGGUCGGUGCUUAUAGAAGGAUAGAAUACAGAUCUCCUGGUGGACUAUGCUUUCUUAUUUGUUGAAGUGAGAUAUGAUUGUUGGCUGGAGACUCAGAGCUCAUAGAAGGUCAAAGUUCCAUUCCUGGAUACAGUUCAGCAUGUAUAAAUCACUUCAGUUACACAUUUCUUUUGUCAUUCCAAUAGCCCUGCUACUAUUUUGAGUCUGCUGCAAUCCAUAUGCAUAUUCAGUCAACUUUUUUGUUGUUGCAGUGAUGUGAUAAGCAACCUACUUGUUGAAGUGCAUCUCAAUUAGAUCUCUGAAACAAGCACCGUAUUAUUGGGUUAUACUGAAUGCAACUAUUCAAUUCUUUUGCAGUUGGUGAAGAACCGUUUGGGAUCCUCAUUUUAACUGAAAGUUUCACUAAAUCCAUUAAAGGCUGUCAGAUAUUGAAGCCCUAGAACUAUAGGAGUGCAGCUUGCACGAAUAAAUAAGGUUAAUAACCAGUUCCUGCUGCUUUGAUUCUUUGACUAAUAAACAUGCCUGUAAAUGUUUAUUCAUGUCAAAUGCAAGACACGUUUAAGACAGCUCACUAAUGAGGAAAAAUAACUUUAAUUAAGUGUCUACCGUUCUCCCUUGAUGGUCAACAUAUUGUGAUGUAAGAUUUGUAGGACUUCAUGCAAGUCUUAAUUCUAUUCUCGCACCUUGCUUUCUACAAGCAGCUUUAUGAAUUUGAUAUCAAGUCUUGUCUUUUAGAUCUCUUUGAACAGUAAUUGUUAAACGAUUCAUAUGAAUGAUGUAGAUCAAAUUAUGUGCACUUCGUGGUACAGCUAUUGAAGUCCCAAAACCCUGAUGAGACACGUAGUAAUUCAGAUAUGUAUGCUACCUUUAAGAUUUCUGAUUGGUAUUCCAUUUUUGUUGGUGAAGCGUUCUUCCUUUUCCGUACCUCAGCCAUUUUCACCUGCAAUUUAUUAUAUAGUUAUAUGAUUAAUUAAAGCUCUGUUUUUUUAUGUUCACUUCGUGGGACUACUCUAAGUUUGCUAUUGUGGUGUACAAAACUUGGUGUCUGGUUUUAAUUGUUCAUUGAUAGGCAUUUUUUCUAUCGCCUGACAGAAUUUUCGACCUUGUUAACAAUCUUAUAAAGAGAGAAAUUAGGAUUGUGUCCCGGUUAAACAUGGCUCCUGAGGUGCAAGGCGUACUAACUGCUGCAGUUUUGGCGGUCCAUCUUCUCGAAGCAAAGCCAUAGGCCAUGGACCUGCCGCUCUGCUCUAAUUUGGUAGCAACCUGACAGUUAGCGAGAGAGCAGUUCGGGACGGGGCUACCUUACCGGAGAUCUGGACGGUUUGGAGUUAGAAUGGCCAAAUCCUAAUUUUCUGUUUAACCCCUUUUCCUUAUUUAUAUGUAUUUUAUAGCUUCCCAGUUAUAUUACCUAUCUCACCAUUAGAGUAUAACUAUACAUAUUCUAUCCGCUGUGUUGUAUGGUAGUGUAUUGCUAUUGGUGAUUUUCUGAUCAACCUGGUUUGCAACCAAA